UGCCCCUUCUCCUUCUGUUGCAGGUGAGCUUUUCUCCUUGCUGUCUCUGAGGUUACACUUCUUUCUAUGUCAAGGCCCAAGAGUCUUGCUCCUGAAAGGAUCUGCUGUCCUGAUGGAACUUUCCUAACUGGGGACUCUUCCCGGUUUCCUUAGGAUUCUGAUCCAGAAUGCAUGCAGGGAAAUUGUUGGGUGACUUCCCGUAGUGACCUUGAGCGUGUCCGCAGAGGCUCAGCUGUAAUUUCUCGUGUGGCACGCAAGGAAGGUAGGCUGGUAGGUAGAUGGAGAGCUUCUUGCUCAGCACCCUCAAAGUGACUUGGGUGAAGGGCAGACUCAUAGGGCAGCAUGAACCUGGUAUUAGAGAGUGAGCUCGCUCUUAUCUAGUUCAAGUAGGAGAAAAAAAAAAAGCCUCUAAAUAAACAAGUGCUGUAACCUCACCUCAGAGAACGGUUCUGAGUUAGCGUCCUCUUUUCUCUGCACUCGGACUCUGCCAACAGUCUGAGGGGACCUGGUGGGAUUUACCAGCUUUGAAGUCCUAAGGUGCUAUUUUAAUACUUUUCUUUUACAUUGCAGGUUUCGAGGCCGAUUUAACUAGAUUCUGGAGGGAGCUUUUACUUUACACCAUUCUUAAGAGCCCGGACAAUCUUGAAAGAGUUAAACCCUAAUUAGCUCAUUCCUAAGGGUUCUUCUAGAAUGGAAGAAUGCUGAAUCUCUCAGUGCCUUCAACCUCGGACAUGAGCAUACAGACCUUGCCUGUGUGUCUGUCCUUUGUCCCCAGAGGUGCCACUGUGAGAGCCCCAGUCACGUGAUCUCUUCUGGCCACACAGAGUCAGCUCACCUCUGCGGCAUCCCACGUAAUAAAGCCCUGUCAUGUUCGUUUCCAGUCACCCUGCUUCAACCUAGCUUUGCUUUUCUGUGGCUUUGGGUUUUGGGUGCUCUGCCCAUGUCCUUGGUUCAUCUCUGUUCAUUCUGAGUUCUCCACUUGAGUGUACUCACCAGGCCCCACUUUUUGAGGUCAAGACUGCUGUCUUCAUACCCUUGGAGGCUGACCUGUCCCCCAUUGAACCCCAGUGUGGGUGUGAGGUGCCCACACCAACACCCCUGACACAGGGGUGCCCCAGGUCAACCUGCUGUUUCUUCCCAUCUCCUCCAAGGUUUGCCCGAUUCCAAUCUUCAGUGGCUGUAGCAAAUUAUUUUCUACAG
RNAcentral lists this long non-coding RNA (1200 nucleotides) under Lynx canadensis (Canada lynx). RNAcentral describes it as "lncRNA (ENSLCNG00005013676.1)". The record is from RNAcentral. Lineage: Eukaryota; Metazoa; Chordata; Mammalia; Carnivora; Felidae.